Molecule: ribosomal RNA, 490 nt
Filed under: uncultured bacterium
Lineage: Bacteria
Description: partial 16S ribosomal RNA
Rfam family: Bacterial small subunit ribosomal RNA
Source: RNAcentral
AUUGAACGCUGGCGGCAGGCCUAACACAUGCAAGUCGAACGGUAACAGGAAGAAGCUUGCUUCUUUGCUUACGAGUGGCGGACGGGUGAGUCAUGUCUGGGAAACUGCCUGAUGGAGGGGGAUAACUACUGGAAACGGUAGCUAAUACCGCAUAACGUCGCAAGACCAAAGAGGGGGACCUUCGGGCCGCUUGCCAUCCGAUGUGCCCAGAUGGGAUUAGCUAGUAGGUGGGGUAACGGCUCACCUAGGCGACGAUCCCUAGCUGGUCUGAGAGGAUGACCAGCCACACUGGAACUGAGACACGGUCCAGACUCCUACGGGAGGCAGCAGUGGGGAAUAUUGCACAAUGGGCGAAAGCCUGAUGCAGCCAUGCCGCGUGUAUGAAGAAGGCCUUCGGGUUGUAAAGUACUUUCAGCGGGGAGGAAGGGAGUAAAGUUAAUACCUUUACUCAUUGACGUUACCCGAAGAAGAAGCACCGGCUAACUACGUG